RNAcentral lists this long non-coding RNA (603 nucleotides) under Chinchilla lanigera (long-tailed chinchilla). RNAcentral describes it as "lncRNA (ENSCLAG00000028615.1)". Lineage: Eukaryota; Metazoa; Chordata; Mammalia; Rodentia; Chinchillidae. The record is from RNAcentral.
GGAGAGCAGUACCCCCAUGGCUGCAGAAGCAUUUUCAAAGGAAAAAAUCUAUUAUAAUGAAAUCUUAUGGGCAAACCAAGAUCUGGUGUUAUGUGAAGAAGUCUUAAACAGUACUUCCUAGGACCUGGAGCUGUGGUGACUGGCAGGAAGAGAGUCCAAGACAGGCUUCUGCUUCUACUAUUGACAGGACUCAGAGACCAGAGACCAGCAGGAACACCAGCAACACAGCAGGACCCUGGCUAGAGCUGCCAGGAUGGAGAGUUUCAGGAUUCUCAGCUGUCUUGGACAACCCCCUACCUUCAAAUUAAUGACAAGGAGUCCCAGUGCGAAACAUGAUGGUCUGAAAGUGCGAGGAUCCUCAGGAAUGGACCAUCCAGGGGAUUUUCAUUAUACCAAUUGGCUGUCCUCGGACUUUCUGGUACGGAUGUUCCUUUCAAGAAGAGUUCGUGUUCCAGCAUGUCAGAGGGGCAGAAGAUGGUGAUAGAUAUCUCUCCCCACUCUUCCUAAGGCUGGUGAUCAACACUCCUGUAACAAAAGACAGGUAAAUGAGAGAAAAGCAUAGCAAAUUUAUUUAAGCAGUUUUGUGUGACACAAGAGCCUUCA